Long non-coding RNA from Callithrix jacchus (white-tufted-ear marmoset), 5300 nucleotides. NCBI's taxonomy places the organism in Eukaryota, Metazoa, Chordata, Mammalia, Primates, Cebidae. The record is from Ensembl.
CAAUGACACAGAGUUGAGUGUUCCUCACAGAGCACAUGUGCAGAGAAAACUACUUAGGGGAAAAAUCAGGUCUUUGUGGGCUCACAGCAAAAUUCUGUGAUCAGUUUUUUUCUGCUUAGAUUACAGGGCUGUUUUGCUUAAAACAUUGAGAAGAAUAGGAAACUUCUCUGUCAUGUUUCUGAUAGUAAAUCAUCAUGUUAUUUCAGAAACUUCAUAGACAGAUAUUGCUAAUUAACUUUUCCAGAAUCCUCCUUCCCAGAGACCUUUGGCUUUCUAAGGGAGCAUCAGAUUUGUCAUCUUUGGUGAGAGUUCUGGAGAUUUAAUAGGUUAUGACCUUGCCAUUUGUCAAUUAUGGGAAUUUGUUAUGUUGUUUUAAUUAUGUAAACAGUAUUUUUAUAGGUAUUAAAUAUAUAUUUGCAGCAUUUUCUUAAACAUGGUUUCUUUCUUCUUUUCCCUCCCCUCCCCUCCACUCCCCUCCCCUCCGCUCCCCUUCCCUCUCCUCCCCUCCCCUUCCCUCCCCUUCCCUUCCCUCUUUUCUUUUCUUUUUCUCUUUUAAAGAGACAGAGCUCUGUUGUCCAGGCUGGAGUGCAGUGGCACAAUCAUAGCUCACUGCAACCUCCAACUCCUCAGCUCAGGCAAUCCGGUCAGCCUCCCAAGUAGCUGGGACUACAGGUAUGUGCCACCAUGCCUGGCUAAUUUUGAAAUUUUCAGUAGAGACAGGGUCUUGCUAUAUUGACCAGGCUGGUCUUGAAGCCCUGGGCUCAGGAGAUACUCCCGCCUUAGCCUCCCAAAGUGCUGGGAUUGUAAGCCUGAGCUACUAUACUCAGCAGAUCUCCACAUAUCUUUGGAUUUUUAUGUUGUGCUUACUUUACAAUCACUGAGUUCCGUGUUAUAAUGUCUCCAUUAUUUUGGUGGGCAUAUUAGAGCUGAUUGUUUCUCUCAGCAGCCUUCAACCGCCCCCUGUGAGACCUCCACAGCUUACCUUAUCAUAAUAUUGGAAAGCAAUUUCUCUUGACUGCUGUGAACCAACGCCGGAAAUUCAAAAUGCUGCUACAGUCAUUAAGUGAUUUCCAAUUAGUUAAUUGGUUUUACAGGCUGCUUCUUUCUAAACUGCACCUUAAAUGAAAAGCAGAACCAUCCAUUUUUGAAAGAGGAAAAAAUCCUGGGGCCUUUGGGUUUUAACAUCCUAAAAGCACAGCAUUCUUUGGAAGAAAAUUCAGUAAAAACACCAGCUCUGCAGAACAGAAAACUUUAUUAUUAUUACCACAGAAAAAGAAUGGAAUCACUCUUUUGGCUUUCCCAGAUUGUCCAGGGUUUAGUUUGCCCACUUUAACGUUAGAUCAAAGGAAGACAGGCAGAUUAUCACAGAACAGCACAGAACAUGGAGACUUUCCUGAUCAACACUAGUUCUUGUCUAGGGAAGCUUCCUGGGCCUCUGUGUUGAGUGCCCUAGGGCUGUAUACGCUUGGCUGCUCUGGGAUGCGAUAUUAAACCUCACUGAGCAGUAGGGGAGAAGUGCUUGAGAAUGGUAAGAAGCUGAUUUUUGGAAAGGAAAGGGGAUCUGAUUACGUCUAUGGGCUAGCAAAAGGAAUGGAUCGAAGGAAGCAUGAGAGGGUUGGUCUAGAAUAUUUCUUGUCAACACGUGUGUUGUUAAUGGUGGGCCAGAAACACAAAUUGUGAACAAUAUUUGAUUUACACAGUGGGGUAAAUAGGAUGAAUAUUCAAGAGGGUAAAUAGGAUAAUAACUGAUUUACCCAGUAGGGUAAAUCUUUUAUCUGUUUUCCCUGAUAGAGAAAAGUUGGCUUUAAUAGUAGAUAAGAGGCAUACAAAAGUAAAGCAAAAUUUUCUCUUUAUUAGACAAAGAUGCAACCCAUUAAAUCAGAAACUGCAUAGUGUAGUGGGGCUAGAAGCAUGGACUCUGGAGCUGGACUAUCUGGGUGGACAUCCUGACAGUCGCUUUCCAGUUGUGAGAUUUUGGGCAAGUUACUUGAGAGAGAGAGAGAGAGAGAGAGAGAGAGAGCGAGGAGAGAGAGAGAGAGAGAGAGAGAGAGAGAGAGAGAGAGGAGAGAGAGAGAGAGAGACUCCCACACAGUCAUGGGAGAGGAUCCCAGAGAGAAAAUCUGUGUAGGUAAGGGAAUAGGGGAAAUUUAACAGCGGAGUUACUCCCGCCCCAUUCAAGUUUUUGUCCAGUUAGAGGAGCUUUUCCAAACUUCUUCUGGAGUGGUUGAUCUUUGACUCUGAUGCUGGAUUGGCUGUCUGGCUCCCAAUAGAGCCCCUCCUUCCAAGGCUUUUGGGUUUGUUUUUUUUUUUUAAACAAAGGAAGCUCACCUGGGCUGUUUACGUUCCGGCACCUGGGAAAGUUAGACAGAGAACUCUAGGCUCCCGGAGCAGGGGUGGAUAGAAGUAUGGCCUGGAAGUUCUUGCCUUUGAAACCACACCCCUUGUGGACCUGGGAAGAGAAGUUAACAUAGUACCUCAAUACCAUCCUCACAGGGUUGUUAUGAGGAGUAAACUUCUGGUUACGGAGCUGGAGGCCAUCAUCCUAAGCAAAUUAAAGCAGGAACAGAAAACCAAAUACUGCAUGUUCCCAAAGAUAAGUGGGAACUAAACAUGGAGACACAUGUACAUAAACAUGGGAGCAACGAGCACUGCGGGCUAGUAGAGGGGAAGGAGGAAUGGAAGGGGAUGUGGGUUGAAAAACCACCUAGUGGGUACUAUGCUCCCUACCCGGGUGCAAUAUAUCCAGGUAACAAACCCAUACAUGUACCCCCGUAUCUAAAAUAAAAGCUGAAAUGAAACAAAUCCCUUAGAACCAGAGCUUAUACAUUUUUCAAUAAACCAAAUUUUAUAAUAUGCCAUGUUUUGAAAGAUUCACCUUUUGAUCUCUCCUUUGAAGAAAAUCUCUCAUUUUAUGGUUUAUUAUCCAUGAGAACUGAUACUCCAAGGAGGCCAAUAGAUAAGGGCCUCUCUGGAAGGAAAAAUUCACCUGUUAAGUGUGUGGGGUUUAAUGCAUCUCCAGUCCCCCAAGACUGUUCCUGUCAUAGCAUAAAUAAUAUCCAGCCCAGUCAGUUGGUCAGUCCAUCUGUCAGUCAGCUGUACUCCCUGCCAUCAGCUCUUUAAGACAAUUUCAUUCCUCCAAACUCACCCAGUGCCUGCUCUUUUUGUUAAAGAGCAAUGUUUAUAUAUAGAAGUAGAUGUAGGUUAAAUCGGAAAGGUAGAGGAGGCAAUGAUUGGAAUAUUGGGUCAGAAAAAGUGAACUUCCUUGUGUGUGCUUGUGUGCGUGUGUGUGUGUGUGAGAGAGAGUGAGAGGAAACAGACACGUACACACAGACACAACACAGGGACACAUAUAUGCACACACAGCCCGGUAGGAACAGAAAAUCUUCCAUGUGAGCAGGGACAAUGCAUUAGAGAGUCAGUUCACUGGUGAGAAGGAGAUCAGGGAUGCGAGAGGGGUAAGGGAAGCAAGGAAGGGAGCUGAGGAUGGAAAACCCUGUUCCUGGCUCUGGUGUCUUUGUGUCAGCUUUAGAAGCAGUUGGUUCAUCAUUUCAGCAGCCUGGAGUCCUUUAGUAAUGACUUCAUGGACUAAAAUUUAAAACCAAAUUAAAUGUGUUUACAAAACAGCACCCACACUGAAUUGAUAACGAGCUGCCAAAGUUGGGCUUGUAAUGAUCUGGGUCCCGAUCUCUGACAGGCUGCAUGCGCUGCCGGGGGUCCUGGUGCUGUUCUUGGGGGUAAAACUGCAGCCAUCCUUUCUCCUGUGUCAUUCUCCCCCUGCCUAAGUGCAGCACUUUUAGGUGAUACGCUGCUGGGCACGAGUCAUGCAUUUAUUUAUAGAUACAUAUUUGCUGGUUUUGAGAGUAGUAACUCUGUUAGAAAUUUGUUAGCUUUUUUUGGUUUGUUUUAAGAUUUUUCUUUUUAGGUUUCCUUAUGCAGUACAUCCAUUCUGGAUGAAACCAUGUUUUGAGAAUACUAAGUAUGAAAUCUUGUAAUUACUUAUGAUUUUUGAUGGUGUGUACUUUGAGAGUGAAACGUUUUCAGGGAUGAUUGGUCCCCCUGCCUCCUUCCCUUGCAGCUCCUUCGUUUCUAAACACCUUGUUAUUUCAGAGAGGGGGAAUCUUUCAUUCCGAUUUUAUGGAACAGAAUGAAGUAUUUUUCUAGUCAUAUUUUGUUUUUAGAACAAGAACUGCUCUUUCAAGUUGUUAAUCAGUGUAAAGGAAAGGAGGCAUCAAAGGGAAUGCUGCUGUGUCCUUUCUAAAGGGAGCAAAAUGUUCUUCUUGUAAUGAAGUAUAUUGAUAGAUUUAUUUCUAUCGUCCAUGAAGAUAAUUAGGACUCAAUAAAUAUGAAAUCAAUCAGCAAAUAACCUCUUCCUACCCUUGAGGAACUUAGGAUCUACUGAAACAAGAUGAAUGGCAUGCAUCUUUAUCUUUUUAACAACCCUUUGCCUUCCAUUUAUGGGAAACAGACUCUUAAGAAUUCCCAUCCAGGGAUCCUGAAGAGGUUUGGCCUGUUAUCUACUUAAAAUCAUGUAUAAGCCAAUGAGAAGAUGCUUUAGAGUUACUACCUGAGCAGCAAUAUUGCAUGUGAAACCGCUCCCUUAAAAAAGAGUUAAUUUCUAAAAAUAGCACCAGAACUGAAGAGUGCAUGGCUGGUGGUGAUGGCUGAGUGGUCGGCAGUGUGUCUGCAGGGUAAGGAGAGGGGAGGGAGUACCCUGGGAUAAGACUGUGUCUCCUGUUAAUCACAAGACGUAAAACCACAAUUCAAUUACAUGGGAUUCCAUGCUAAUAUUCCUCUUGUCAAUGGCUUUUCUGUUUCAGAAGGCAGCAGAAUCCCACUGUAGAGUCAAUGUGUGCCUAAAGCCUGAUUAACUGUAUUGUGGUGCUCAUGGAAUAUUUAGUCUCUGGAUAUUAUUUAUGUUGACUCAGGAGCAGUCUUGGGGGAAUGGAGAUGCAUUAAACCCCACACACUUGACAGAUGAUCUUUUCCUUCCAGAGAGGCCCUGUGUUGCUGUCUGGGCUCUGGUGGCCCCGGGGAAGCUCCUGGCUUCUUCCUGACCUCCAGUAAACCUGUUCUUCCUGCUUACCAUGCAUUAGAAACAAAAUGUACUUGUUUGAAUCGAUAUUGGGCAUUAAGCAGCUUCUGGGCUUCAUGUCAGGGUCUCUGGUAGAAGAGGUUAUCCUCUGUUUGCACUGGGGUUUGGGUAGCAGGAAAUUUAAGAUGAAAUAGGCUAGAAGUUUAAUCCUUGGAUGCAUUUAAUCUUGUGACUGUUAGUUGGCUCUCAAGUUUUCACAAAGUGCCUU